RNAcentral lists this ribosomal RNA (253 nucleotides) under uncultured bacterium. Its description in RNAcentral is "partial 16S ribosomal RNA". It matches the Rfam family "Bacterial small subunit ribosomal RNA", at positions 524 to 776 of the family's 1533-position model. The record is from RNAcentral.
UACGUAGGUGGCAAGCGUUGUCCGGAAUUAUUGGGCGUAAAGCGCGCGCAGGCGGUCCUUUAAGUCUGAUGUGAAAGCCCACGGCUCAACCGUGGAGGGUCAUUGGAAACUGGGGGACUUGAGUGCAGAAGAGGAAAGCGGAAUUCCACGUGUAGCGGUGAAAUGUGUAGAGAUCGGGAGGAACACCGGUGGCGAAGGCGGGUCUCUGGGCAAUUCCUGACGCUGAGGCGCGAAAGCGUGGGGAGCAAACGGG